This 72-nucleotide transfer RNA is filed under the name Stropharia rugosoannulata. Its description in RNAcentral is "tRNA-His". It matches the Rfam family "tRNA". Rfam says of the family: Transfer RNA (tRNA) molecules are approximately 80 nucleotides in length. Their secondary structure includes four short double-helical elements and three loops (D, anti-codon, and T loops). Lineage: Eukaryota; Fungi; Basidiomycota; Agaricomycetes; Agaricales; Strophariaceae. The record is from RNAcentral.
GUCAGAUUAGUUUAAGUGGUAAAACGUCGCAUUGUGGCUACGAUGAUAAAAGUUCAAUUCUUUUAUUUGACC